Molecule: long non-coding RNA, 950 nt
Filed under: Piliocolobus tephrosceles (Ugandan red Colobus)
Lineage: Eukaryota; Metazoa; Chordata; Mammalia; Primates; Cercopithecidae
Description: lncRNA (ENSPTEG00000002323.1)
Source: RNAcentral
AUGUUAAGACAAUUUAUUUAAACAUGUCAAAUAUUUAUGAUAAAUAUUAUGUAAUUAAUAAAAAAGAAAAAAAAAAAAAAAAAUUCCAAGCGUUUAUUUUGUGUAUCAACAUAUUUAGUUUUUAAUUAACCUAUCACUUGGGUUUUUACAUAAAUAGUUAUUUAAGUUUUACAUCUUCGUCCUUAUUUCUUAAUCCAUCUGUUUAUCUACCUAUUUAUUUAUUUAUUUUAUUUUAUUUUAUUUUAUUUUAUUUUUUUUUUUUUUGUUUUAUUUUUGCUAGUCUCUAAAGCCGUUUAUAUCUCUUGUUGGAAAUAAAUCAGGUUAUAAUUUUUUAUUUUUCCAAAUUUUUUCAUUUUUUUACCUUUAGUGAUUAAUACACAAAAGAAACACAUUCUAUGUAUUGUGCAUAUAUUUUUUUAUGUUUAUGUUUAUAUAUAGAUUUGGUAAAGAAGAUUGUGAAUUAGUUAGGCAAGCAGAACACUUCGCGUGAGUAUAGUUUUUAAUUAUUAUUUAACUUAAAAAAAUAUAUAACAUAUAAACAUAUGCAUAUAAACAUGUGCAUAUAAACAUAUACAUAUACAUAAAUAUAUAUAUACGUAUUAACAUGUUCAUAUGUGUACGAACACAUGUAUAAUUUUACCCUUCUUAAAAGGACCGAACACUUGGUACAAUUAUGGCUCGUAUCAUCGCUUACAGGGAAAAAUGUUAAGAAGUUAUUCUUACAUAUGGUUAACAUGGUUUUCAAUAACACGAAUUUGUGGAAAUACGAUAUGGAAGAUGUAAUAUAUACAUAUACAUGUAUUUACGUUUACACAUAUAUAUAUAUUUACAUGUACAUAUAUGAAUGAAUAAACAUUUCCUCCCCCCCAUUCUUUUCUUUUUUCAGUCUGGAUCCGAAUCUUCAGAAAAUUAAAAUUAAAAAAAAAUAAAAUAAAAUAAAAACCUAAGCA